Molecule: ribosomal RNA, 252 nt
Filed under: uncultured bacterium
Lineage: Bacteria
Description: partial 16S ribosomal RNA
Rfam family: Bacterial small subunit ribosomal RNA
Source: RNAcentral
UACGUAGGGGGCGAGCGUUGUCCGGAAUUAUUGGGCGUAAAGCGCGCGCAGGCGGCCGUUUAAGUUUGGUGUAACAGCCCUGGGCUCAACCGAGGGAGGCACUGAAAACUGGACGGCUUGAGUGCAGGAGAGGAAAGUGGAAUUCCACGUGUAGCGGUGAAAUGCGUAGAGAUGUGGAGGAACACCAGUGGCGAGGGCGGCUUUCUGGCCUGUAACUGACGCUGAGGCGCGAAAGCGUGGGUAGCGAACAGG